This 3869-nucleotide long non-coding RNA is filed under the name Triticum aestivum (bread wheat). RNAcentral describes it as "long non-coding RNA (TAES_LNC004121)". The record is from RNAcentral. Lineage: Eukaryota; Viridiplantae; Streptophyta; Magnoliopsida; Poales; Poaceae.
UAAACUUUACCAUUCUGUUUGGGAACCGCCUAUAAUGUGUGUAGCAUGGAAGAAAUCGCCAUCUCUUAGUUGUUAUGUUGACAAUAAAAGUAUAUCGCUCAAAAUAUUAUUCACCUCUAUUUCAAAACCGAGCUCUAGCACCUCUACAAAUCCCUGCUUCCCUCUGCGGAGGGCCUAUCUAUUUACUUUUAUGUUGAGUCAUCAUCCUCUUAUUAAAAAACACCAGUUGGAGAGCACCACUGUCAUUUGCAUUCAUUACUGUUAGUUUACAUUGAGUGUGACUUGACUGGAUCUCUUUUGUGACACCCUCGAUUCAAUCAUACACGCAAAUGUGUACGAUCAAGAUCAAGGACUCACGGGAAGAUAUCGCAACACAACUCUAGACACAAAUUAAAAUAAUACAAGCUUUAUAUUACAAGCCAGGGGCCUCGAAGGCUCGAAUACAUAAGCUCGAAUACACAAGAGUCAGCGGAAGUAACAAUAUCUGAGUACAGACAUAAGUUAGACAAGUUUGCCUUAAAAAGGCUAGCACAAAAGCAACAACGGUCGAAAAGGCAAGGCCUCUUGCCUGGGAGCCUCCUAACUACUCCUGGUCGUCGGCGGCCUCCACGUAGUAGUAGGCAUCCUCAGGGUAGUAGUAGUCAUCAGUGGCGUCGUCUGGCUCCUGGGAUCCGUCAUCUGGUCGCAACAAUCGGGUAUGGGGAAAAAAGAAGUAGCAAAGCAAUCGUGAGUACUCAUCCAAAGUACUCGCAAGACUUACAUCAGAUCUAAAUUAAGUACGCAUCUGUAUCAAAGGAAUGGAUUGUAUCUGUGGACUAAACUAUUGAAUGCCAGAAGGGAAGGGGAGAGCCUAGCCUAUCGAAGACUAGCAUCUUCUGGAAACCACCAUCUUGCAGCAACAGGAGGGAGUAGGGUAGCAUAAAGUAAAGUAGUAGAAGUGUUACCAACCUCGGCCAGAGACCCUUUCUCGACUGCCUGCGAGAAAGCAAUCCCAGAGCCAUACUAUCCAGUUAUCAUCUCAUAACCAAGUCUCAUCUCCAUGUCUCAUCUCAAGUAUCCUGUUCUAGUUGUAUCGAUCGGGAUACAACUCCAAGUGUCCGUUACCGUAGGACAGGCUAUCGAUAGAUGUUUUCUUCCCUACAGGAGUGCACCAACUUACCCACCACGCUCGAUUAACUCCGGCAGGACACACUUUCCUGGGUCAUGCCCGGCCUCGGCCAAACAAUACGCCGCAACCCGACCUAGGCUUAAUAGAGAGGCCAGCACGCCGGACUAAACCUAUGCCCCCAGGGGUCAUGGGCCAUCUCCCCAGAAACUCCUGCACGUUGCGAGGGCGGCCGGUGAGCAGACCUAGCUACCUCCUUCAACAAGGCAGGCGCUUACGCAGUCCAACCCGGCGCGCGCCGCUCAGUCGCUGACGUCUAUUAAGCUUCGGCUGAUGUAUACGACGCAGAACGCCCAUACUAUGCCCACGUGAUGGUUAGUGCUAUCAGGCCAGAGGCCCCUCGAAUCAAAUAUCCAAAUCAUAGUGGAUUAGGAACGCGCGGUAACGAGCAGGGACUCACGAUCGAUGUGACCCCGUCGCCCCAUCUCGAGUACUUGCGGCAAGGGCUAAGAAUGCCCGGCCACGCCUCGUAAGUAUCUCGCGGGCACCUUCCAGGUCAACCCGACUCCACAUCACUCGUUAUUAAGUUCGCGCGGGUACCCCUCAGGGUCGACCCGUCUUUAGUAACAUGGUUCAGUAUAAAGUCAUAGUAACCAUAGUAACUGUGUGUCUAACACUAAAGGGAAAACCUGAGGAAUCACCCCCGGUGAAUUCCAUUCGAUGUUGUCAUCAAGGUGAACGUAAGAGGAUCCACCCUCGAGGUUCACGUUUGAUGGGUUGCACGACAGAGCCGUAACGGAAGUGGUUAAGGAGGAAAUCACCCUCGAUGACCUCGACCGUAUAGCUACACUACGGAGAUCUCAUCGGGAGUGAUGUAAGAGGUUCCACCCUCGGCACUCGAUGGUAACUCUGCAGAGUCGUACAACUAGGGGGUGAUGUGCGGUGUCGGGGCCUGGACGUCGAUCACGUUGAUCGAGUCAUCGAACAUAAAGCGAGGCAACUGGAACAAGAUGGGGGUCACUGAUGGAUCACUAACCAACCUAUACUAAGCAGUUUAGGAUAAGCAGGUAAAGUAUGAAAGCGGGUAACAAAACAGGCUAUGCAUUAGAGUAGGAUCAUACAGAAAGCAGUAGCAGUUCUAAUGCAAGCAUGAGAGGGAAAGAAAUGGGCGAUAUCGAAAUGCUCAAGGGGGUUUGCUUGCCUGGUUACUCAGACAAGGAGGGGUCGUCGGUGACGUAGUCGAUCACAGCGGCAUCAUCGGUCUCGGGGUCUACCGGAGAGAAGAGGGGGAAGAAACAGUAAAUAUAAAGCAAACAUAGCACCACAAAGCAAAACAUGGCAAUAUGAUGUGCCGGGUGUGACCUAACGCGAUAGGAGGUGAUACCGGCGAAGGGGGGAAACAUCCGGGAAAAAAUCCCAGGUGUUUUGCAUUUUUCGGACAGAUGAAACGGAGGAAGAAAGUUGCGUGUUCGCUAUGCUAGGGAUGCGUGGCGAACGAACGGGCUACAUAUCCAGAUUCGUCUCGUCGUUCUGAGCAACUUUCAUGCACAAAGUUUUUCCAUCUGAGAUACGGUUUAUUUUCUAUGAAUUUUCAAAGUUUUAAAACAUUUUCUGAAUUUCUAAAAUAUAUCUAAAUUCGAAUUUAAACAGUGUACUACUUUUUAUACACACAGCUAGCCUAUUAGAAUGACAUGUGGGGUCCAGUGGCUGAGUCAGCAUACACAGUCAACAAGUCCAUAGUCAAUGUUUGACUUGGUUAAAGUGUGAAUAGUGGCCAUGGGGCCUACUUGUCAUUGACUACUAUUUUAACUAAAAGGGGGGUAUUUAGUGUGAGGGACCACCUGUCACAAACACAUUAGGCUAUUUAACAUAAAAAGUAGCAGCCCUAAACUAAUCUAAUUAGUACUAACUAAUCUGGAUAGGGCCGGCCUCAUACCCAGAAUACACGCACGCACACCACACAACACACUCGGCCAUGGCUAUGGCCAUGGCCUGUAGCAGCAGCAACCGGCUGUAGAAGUACCUAGCAGCAGCAGUGCAAUGCAGCAGUAGUUAGUGGGAGCAGGGCAGCACGACAGCAAGUAGUAGCGGCAGUAGUCGAGCAGCAACGGCAGCGCAGCAGCAGCAAGAAGUAGCAGGGCGAGCGCGGGUGCCGCGAGCGGCGCGGGCGCUCGGCCAGGGUGCGGCGGGUGCUCGCACGCACGUGCGAACGGACACAGCCAGGGGCGAACGAGGGCGCGGGCUGCAGCAGGCAUGCGACAGCGGGCACGGGCGUACACAGGCGGCAGGGGCAUGCGGGUGCGUGCGCGGACGCGAUGCUUCGGCCAUGGCGGCCUCAACGAGCACAGGCAACAUACGGCAACGGAUCGACGGGGCAAAACAGGGGAAUCAAGGGAGGAGCUCACAGUGAGCACGAAGGCGAGGUCGGGGAGGCCGGAGGUGGACCGGAGCGGCGGCAAUCGACGCCGGACGCCGGCGAUGUACGCGUUGAAGACGAGGUCGAUGGCGAGUGUACGGGCCUUCCUUGCUCGAUUCAGUGCUCGGGGUAGACGAAGUAGACAACGACGGUUCUCCUGGACCUCUUGGCGCGACGAGGGGAGGCCGGUGGCCGCGGGAUCGACGAGAGGCGGCGACGGCGUCUCGGGCGCGUGUUGUGGAGAGGAGAGCGAGCGAGGGGAAGUGGAAAAGCAGCUAGGGUUUGUCCACGACAUUGGGGACGGCCUCCUUAUCCUCUCCAAGGCGCUCUGUAGCGCCAGGCGUCGGC